GGCUUAUUCAGUUUCACUUUCGCACUUACUGCUUGAGAUAUUAUGAAGUAAAAAAAAAUUUCACACCUCUUAAUUUUUUGAUGUGAGAUAAGACAUUUUUGCUUUAAUUUGCUGCUUGAUUUUUUGCGUGAGUCACAUCUUGAUAUAAAAAAAGGUGUUGUACAUCCUUAGUUUUUUUUAAACUUAAAUUGACUUUUGAUUUACAUGACUUAGAUGAUGAUCCCCUGACCUAAUGGGCCAGCAUAAGUAAAUCAUGAUCAGUUUUCAUGAACUUUUUCUUUGUCAUAUGGUUUGUUUGAACAACAAAAAAUUGUGCUAAAUAUAGGGCAAGAUGCACAAAACAUGAAUUCCAAUUUUUAAAGGUGUGUACUCAGUACAACCACAUGUAUUUACUCAAAAAUAAUUGUCAAGUACAAUUACAUGUCACCUUGUGCAUAAAAAUCUUCAGUAUUACAUGUAUACAAAUACCUCUUUAGUACAGUGACAUUAAUUUGCAUUCUUGCCAUGAUUUUAAGAGUUAUGUUUAUUUUUAAUGCACAGUUUACAAAUUUUAUGCAAUAUUUCGUUUUUAAAGUGACUAGCAUAUUGUUUUUGUCUUUAAUUUUAGUAU
This 610-nucleotide long non-coding RNA is filed under the name Mytilus galloprovincialis (Mediterranean mussel). Lineage: Eukaryota; Metazoa; Mollusca; Bivalvia; Mytilida; Mytilidae. The record is from RNAcentral.